AUGUGAUAUCUGAACUUUGAAUACACAGGCUUCCAGCAGUUAUACAAAAUAUUGCUGGGAUGAGAAUUGUGUUAGGGAAAAAUUAAAUAGAUAUAGUGUGCAAAGACAGAGAUAAAGUAUGUUCCUUUAGAUCUUAUGUAUCAGCAAGAGUUCAAGUAACACUAGAUUUUAUUUAGUUUUUACUACCAAGAAUUGAUUAGAAAUAUAGUCCCAGGAAUGACUACAUGUUCUUAUAUUUUAGUAUAUUUGUGUUAUUAUG
RNAcentral lists this long non-coding RNA (259 nucleotides) under Trifolium pratense (red clover). RNAcentral's name for it is "long non-coding RNA (TPRA_LNC012696)". Lineage: Eukaryota; Viridiplantae; Streptophyta; Magnoliopsida; Fabales; Fabaceae. The record is from RNAcentral.